UUGAAGGCCGUCAACCAGCUGCUUUCUCUCAAGGCUGACCGAUGGGGUCUACUUAACUCUGCGAACAUUGUCCUAAUCCCAAAGAAAGAUGGGCCUUGCGAUGCCUUGGAUUUCCGGCCAAUCAGCCUCAUGCAUAGCAUUGCAAAAAUCUUGUGCAAGCUGUUGGCAAAUCGGCUGGCUCCCGAGCUAGAUGCCUUGGUGUCCCACAGUCAGAGUACCUCUAUCAAACGGAGAUGCAUCCAAGACAACUUCUUAUAUGUCCAGAAUGUCAUUAGAGAAGCUCACAGCAAGAAGAAGCCCGCUAUCUUCCUGAAGCUGGGCUUUGCGAAAGCCUUCGAUUCUGUCGGCUGGGGAUAUUUAUUGGAUAUUCUGAAGGCUUUUGGGUUUGGGCAGCACUGGAGGGACCUCCUCUCCAUUAUUCUGCGUUCCUCGUCAUCCAGAAUCCUUCUAAAUGGCUCUCCUGGUGCGCCAUUCAUGCAUAUGCGGGGCUUCGACAGGGGGAUCUGUUAUCCCUGA
This 516-nucleotide ribosomal RNA is filed under the name Triticum aestivum (bread wheat). RNAcentral describes it as "partial small subunit ribosomal RNA". Lineage: Eukaryota; Viridiplantae; Streptophyta; Magnoliopsida; Poales; Poaceae. The record is from RNAcentral.